Molecule: ribosomal RNA, 702 nt
Filed under: uncultured archaeon
Lineage: Archaea
Description: bacterial SSU rRNA
Rfam family: Archaeal small subunit ribosomal RNA
Source: RNAcentral
AGGCCACUGCUAUCGGGGUUCGAUUAAGCCAUGCGAGUCGAGAGGUGCAAGACCUCGGCGCACUGCUCAGUAACACGUGGAUAACCUACCCUGUGGAGGGGGAUAACCCCGGAAAACUGGGGAUAAUACCCCAUAGAUUAGGGAUGCUGGAAUGCCCCCUAGUUCAAAGGUCCGCCGCCACAGGAUGGGUCUGCGGCCGAUUAGGUUGUUGUUGGGGUAACGGCCCAACAAGCCAUUGAUCGGUACGGGUUGUGGGAGCAAGAGCCCGGAGAUGGAUUCUGAGACACGAAUCCAGGCCCUACGGGGCGCAGCAGGCGCGAAAACUUUACAAUGCGAGAAAUCGUGAUAAGGGAACCCCGAGUGCCCGUAAAUUCGGGCUGUCCGUCAGUGUAAAUAACUGGCGAAGAAAGGGCCGGGCAAGACCGGUGCCAGCCGCCGCGGUAAUACCGGCGGCUCGAGUGGUGGCCACUAUUACUGGGCUUAAAGCGUCCGUAGCUGGGUUGUUAAGUCUCCUGGGAAAUCCACCGGCUCAACCGAUGGGCGUUCAGGGGAUACUGGCAACCUAGGGACCGGGAGAGGUGAGAGGUACUCCAGGGGUAGGAGUGAAAUCCUGUAAUCCUUGGGGGACCACCUGUGGCGAAGGCGUCUCACCAGAACGGCUCCGACAGUGAGGGACGAAAGCUGGGGGAGCAAACCGGAUUA